This 392-nucleotide ribosomal RNA is filed under the name uncultured Nitrosospira sp. RNAcentral describes it as "bacterial SSU rRNA". It matches the Rfam family "Bacterial small subunit ribosomal RNA", at positions 195 to 568 of the family's 1533-position model. Lineage: Bacteria; Pseudomonadati; Pseudomonadota; Betaproteobacteria; Nitrosomonadales; Nitrosomonadaceae. The record is from RNAcentral.
UGGGGAGGAAAGCAGGGGAUCGCAAGACCUUGCGCUUUUGGAGCGGCCGAUGUCUGAUUAGCUAGUUGGUGAGGUAAAGGCUUACCAAGGCGUCGAUCAGUAGCUGGUCUGAGAGGACGACCAGCCACACUGGGACUGAGACACGGCCCAGACUCCUACGGGAGGCAGCAGUGGGGAAUUUUGGACAAUGGGGGAAACCCUGAUCCAGCCAUGCCGCGUGAGUGAAGAAGGCCUUCGGGUUGUAAAGCUCUUUCAGCCGGAACGAAACGGUCACGGCUAAUACCUGUGAUCACUGACGGUACCGGAAGAAGAAGCACCGGCUAACUACGUGCCAGCAGCCGCGGUAAUACGUAGGGUGCAAGCGUUAAUCGGAAUUACUGGGCGUAAGCGGC